Molecule: long non-coding RNA, 212 nt
Organism: Pundamilia nyererei
Lineage: Eukaryota; Metazoa; Chordata; Actinopteri; Cichliformes; Cichlidae
Exons: 2
Source: RefSeq, a predicted model, not a curated record
ACUAUCAGCCUCGCCGUCUCGACCCUUUUGGAGCCCCCCCCUCUGGUUCACUCAGCCCGGCUACCUCCCUUCUCACAGCCCCGCUCUCGGCGUUCCCUGCGCAGUUUACCUCCCCAGUCCCUCGGUUUCUUCUGGUUCCAUACGUUGUUUUUUCGGCUACCCUCACGGGACACCUUUAGUUAUAAUAAAUUUGCUUUCUUUAUUCCCUCCUA